ACCAAGCCAGCUAUUACAAAGAACAAAAAUGACCACAAGCAUUUUCACUACUCAGCAAGUAGUGCAUAUUACAACAAUCAAGAUUUCUACUUAUUUCACUUUUAAAUAAAGUCGAUUACGGGUCUAAUAUCGUAGAUCGACAUACCAGGUUACUGUGGUUUAGGAAGUCCAUAAAAAUCGCCCUCCAUUCUCUUCUUCUUCUCCUCUAAUGCAUUACUGGUGGAUCUCCAUCUACAGAAAGAACCAAACAGGACCUCCAUAUCCUCCAGGUUUCUUCCCCGUGUCUCCGGUAGCAAUGUGUAGAAGAAAAUCCAAGCUAUAAUUCCAACCCCUGCAAAUAAAAAGAAAGCCCCUCCAAUUGUAAUACUCUGGUACAGGGAUAUAAAUGACAUUAAGAUCACCCCACUGAUGAAUCUAUUCAUUGCGACUCCCAUACCACAACCUUGGGCCCUUAGCCUCAAUGGGAAGAUCUCGGAACUGUAGACCCAUGCAAUGGGACCCAUCCCCGACGAGAAAAAAGCAACGGCUAAUAAUGUCAUGAGAAUGCACAAGGCGAUGGCCCACGUUAGUUGUUCAUCGGGAUAUUGAUCGAUUACAGUCAAUCCAAUGGCCAGACCUAUGAGGCAGAUUACCAUACCACCGCAACUUGAAAGAAGCAAAACUCGUCGUCCAAUCUUGUCUAGGAAAAAUGUGGACACUAAGGUGAAGAUAGUUUUCGAGACUCCUACGGCUAUAGUUGCGAGUAGUCUGUCCGUCUCAGUUUUUAAACCAGCUUUCUCAAAAAUUCGGGGACUGUAUAACACAACAGCAUCUAUGCCACUCGCCUGUUGAAAAAAAUGCACGCCAACGC
This 850-nucleotide long non-coding RNA is filed under the name Olea europaea (common olive). RNAcentral describes it as "long non-coding RNA (OEUR_LNC003160)". The record is from RNAcentral. Lineage: Eukaryota; Viridiplantae; Streptophyta; Magnoliopsida; Lamiales; Oleaceae.